This 490-nucleotide ribosomal RNA is filed under the name uncultured bacterium. RNAcentral describes it as "partial 16S ribosomal RNA". It matches the Rfam family "Bacterial small subunit ribosomal RNA", at positions 30 to 507 of the family's 1533-position model. The record is from RNAcentral.
AUUGAACGCUGGCGGCAGGCCUAACACAUGCAAGUCGAACGGUAACAGGAAGAAGCUUGCUUCUUUGCUGACGAGUGGCGGACGGGUGAGUAAUGUCUGGGAAACUGCCUGAUGGAGGGGGAUAACUACUGGAAACGGUAGCUAAUACCGCAUAACGUCUCAAGACCAAAGAGGGGGAGCUUCGGGCCUCUUGCCAUCGGAUGUGCCCAGAUGGGAUUCGCUAGUAGGUGGGGUAACGUCUCACCUAGGCGACGAUCCCUAGCUGGUGUGAGAGGAUGACCAGCCACACUGGAACUGAGACACGGUCCAGACUCCUACGGGAGGCAGCAGUGGGGAAUAUUGCACAAUGGGCGCAAGCCUGAUGCAGCCAUGCCGCGUGUAUGAAGAAGGCCUUCGGGUUGUAAAGUACUUUCAGCGGGGAGGAAGGGAGUAAAGUUAAUACCUUUCCUCAUUGACGUUACCCGCAGAAGAAGCACCGGCUAACUCCGUG